RNAcentral lists this ribosomal RNA (548 nucleotides) under Lasiodiplodia theobromae. Its description in RNAcentral is "eukaryotic LSU rRNA". The stretch from base 171 to 324 matches the Rfam family "5.8S ribosomal RNA". The record is from RNAcentral. Lineage: Eukaryota; Fungi; Ascomycota; Dothideomycetes; Botryosphaeriales; Botryosphaeriaceae.
CUUCCGUAGGGGUGACCUGCGGAAGGAUCAUUACCGAGUUUUCGGGCUUCGGCUCGACUCUCCCACCCUUUGUGAACGUACCUCUGUUGCUUUGGCGGCUCCGGCCGCCAAAGGACCUCCAAACUCCAGUCAGUAAACGCAGACGUCUGAUAAACAAGUUAAUAAACUAAAACUUUCAACAACGGAUCUCUUGGUUCUGGCAUCGAUGAAGAACGCAGCGAAAUGCGAUAAGUAAUGUGAAUUGCAGAAUUCAGUGAAUCAUCGAAUCUUUGAACGCACAUUGCGCCCCUUGGUAUUCCGGGGGGCAUGCCUGUUCGAGCGUCAUUACAACCCUCAAGCUCUGCUUGGAAUUGGGCACCGUCCUCACUGCGGACGCGCCUCAAAGACCUCGGCGGUGGCUGUUCAGCCCUCAAGCGUAGUAGAAUACACCUCGCUUUGGAGUGGUUGGCGUCGCCCGCCGGACGAACCUUCUGAACUUUUCUCAAGGUUGACCUCGGAUCAGGUAGGGAUACCCGCUGAACUUAAGCAUAUCAAUAAGGCCGGAGGAA